AAGCAACAGGGAUUGCCCCAGUAACGGCGAGUGAAGCGGCAACAGCUCAAAUUUGAAAUCUGGCCCCCCCGCGGGGUCCGAGUUGUAAUUUGUAGAGGAUGCUUUUGGUGAGGUGCCGCCCGAGUUCCCUGGAACGGGACGCCGCAGAGGGUGAGAGCCCCGUCUGGCUGGCCGCCGAGCCUCUGUAAAGCUCCUUCGACGAGUCGAGUAGUUUGGGAAUGCUGCUCAAAAUGGGAGGUAUAUGUCUUCUAAAGCUAAAUAUUGGCCAGAGACCGAUAGCGCACAAGUAGAGUGAUCGAAAGAUGAAAAGCACCUUGAAAAGAGGGUUAAACAGUACGUGAAAUUGUUGAAAGGGAAGCGCUCGUGACCAGACUUGGGCGCGGCGGAUCAUCCGGGGUUCUCCCCGGUGCACUUCGCCGCGCCCGGGCCAGCAUCAGCUCGGCGCGGGGGAAAAAGGCCUCGGGAACGUGGCUCCUCCGGGAGUGUUAUAGCCCGUUGCGUAAUACCCUGCGGUGGGCUGAGGACCGCGCAUCUGCAAGGAUGCUGGCGUAAUGGUCACCGGCGACCCGUCUUGAAACACGGACCAAGGAGUCGUCCUCGUAUGCGAGUGUUCGGGUGUCAAACCCCUACGCGUAAUGAAAGUGAACGCAGGUGAGAGCUUCGGCGCAUCAUCGACCGAUCCUGAUGUUCUCGGAUGGAUUUGAGUAAGAGCAUACGGGGCCGGACCCGAAAGAAGGUGAACUAUGCCUGUAUAGGGUGAAGCCAGAGGAAACUCUGGUGGAGGCUCGCAGCGGUUCUGACGUGCAAAUCGAUCGUCAAAUAUGGGCAUGGGGGCGAAAGACUAAUCGAACCUUCUAGUAGCUGGUUUCCGCCGAAGUCCUCCUACAGAUAAA
This 893-nucleotide ribosomal RNA is filed under the name Trichoderma chromospermum. RNAcentral describes it as "partial large subunit ribosomal RNA". It matches the Rfam family "Eukaryotic large subunit ribosomal RNA", at positions 63 to 981 of the family's 3401-position model. The record is from RNAcentral. Lineage: Eukaryota; Fungi; Ascomycota; Sordariomycetes; Hypocreales; Hypocreaceae.